This 592-nucleotide ribosomal RNA is filed under the name Symphysodon sp. 'blue discus'. RNAcentral describes it as "partial 16S ribosomal RNA". It matches the Rfam family "Bacterial large subunit ribosomal RNA", at positions 1808 to 2603 of the family's 2925-position model. The record is from RNAcentral. Lineage: Eukaryota; Metazoa; Chordata; Actinopteri; Cichliformes; Cichlidae.
CAAAAACAUCGCCUCUUGAGACACAAAACAUAAGAGGUCCCGCCUGCCCAGUGACUUUAAGUUUAACGGCCGCGGUAUUUUGACCGUGCAAAGGUAGCGCAAUCACUUGUCCUUUAAAUGAAGACCUGUAUGAAUGGCACCACGAGGGCUCAACUGUCUCCUUUCUCCUGUCAAUGAAAUUGAUCUCCCCGUGCAGAAGCGGGGAUAAAACCAUAAGACGAGAAGACCCUAUGGAGCUUUAGGCACCAGAACAGACUAUGUUAAGCACCCUAAGCACAAAAGACAAAACUAACUAGACCCUAUUCCAAUGCCUUUGGUUGGGGCGACCGCGGGGAAAUAAAAAACCCCCAUGUGGACCAAGAGCACAUCACUCUUACAACCCAGGGCUACAACCCUAAGUAACAGAAUUUUCUGACCAGAAUGAUCCGGUAAGACCGAUCAACGAACCGAGUUACCCUAGGGAUAACAGCGCAAUCCCCUUCUAGAGUCCAUAUCGACAAGGGGGUUUACGACCUCGAUGUUGGAUCAGGACAUCCUACUGGUGCAGCCGCUAUUAAGGGUUCGUUUGUUCAACGAUUAAAGUCCUACGUGA